UAGCUCUAGAACCUACCUCCUUAUCCAAAACAGAUGGAAAGGCAGACCAGGAAAAGAAACAUUGACGCUCUUCAAAGUUAAUGAAGUCAAUCACAAAUAGAAAUUGCCCUUUAGCAGCAGUUCUCAUUCUGAAAAGCGGACACAGCAAAGGAGAAUACCUUGGUGAGAGCAGUAGCAAAGGGUCACUGGGAUGUCGUCAGUGCCACCCACAAGAUUAAUAACGUGAGCGAGAGAAGUGAUUCAAAUUCCUGAAUGGUUCAGACAGUGUGGAGUAUUUGAAACAUCUGUACAGGGCUUGCAGCUACUGGACCUACAGGAGAAAUGCACUCCUCUAGAGGAAUAGCUGGAAUGCAGGUGGGAUAUCCUACUGAUCUUUCCUCAGGCUUCUGCGUUUCACCUGAUAAACACUGAUAACAUAUUUCCGGUUACAAGAAGAAAAAAAGGAAAUAUGCAUUUAUCUACAAGAUUUUUCAUUUCACUUUCCAAGUGGAAUUUAUUUAACAACCUCAAAAGCAAGUUAAUUGUCCUAAUUUCUAUGUAUCAUUAGUAUAACAUGGGCAAUUUUAAAUUUAUACUAGAUAAUGUGUUUUUUGA
Molecule: long non-coding RNA, 594 nt
Organism: Empidonax traillii (willow flycatcher)
Lineage: Eukaryota; Metazoa; Chordata; Aves; Passeriformes; Tyrannidae
Exons: 3
Source: RefSeq, a predicted model, not a curated record